Long non-coding RNA from Numida meleagris (helmeted guineafowl), 1926 nucleotides. RefSeq lists it as uncharacterized. The transcript has 6 exons. Lineage: Eukaryota; Metazoa; Chordata; Aves; Galliformes; Numididae. The record is from RefSeq and is a predicted model, not a curated record.
CCGCGGGGUCGCACGGCGGCGUGAGGGGCGGUCGCCAUCUUGGGGCGGGGGUGCACGGUACGGGGUGCUGAGGUCGGCGGCAGCCCUUCCGUGCUAGACCUCCGCGAGGGCGGCCGACCAGAGUGGUUUCAAACACAGAGAACUGGGCUCUGAUCACGGGAACGUACAGACUCAUGCCACCUCGAGCCCUAUUCUUUAGCCAGGUGUCAGGCACACGAGUACUGCUGUGCUGUGGGCCCAGCCCGUAACGGUUCUGACGAGCAGUGGAUCUCCGUUGGGUGGGGCUCCGGGGGCUGCAGCCACCCAGCUCAGUAACUUCAUUUAAAAGCAGUAUAAACCGACGUGCUUUCCUGAUUAAAGACAAGCGGAGUUCUUCAGCACAAAAAUAAAACUGUUUUGUGGAAGCAGAAAUGCUUGGUAGUGGUAGGACUUUGUGUGCUUGCCUAACAUCCCAUUGUAAGGACAAUCGGUAUGGAAAACUGGGACUGCGAGCUCUGCAUCUCUGCCUGAUCUUGACUUGCUGGGUGAUAUGAGGAGCUGCUUCCCAGAUCCUCUUAAUUUAGUUCGAGAAGUUAGAAUUGCCUGUAAUCAUUGGUAAACUGAGAGUCUUGAAUGGAGAACAAUGACAAGCGCCUACUUAGAAGAGCUGCUGAAUUUAAGAAGUCAAGUUACUGCUGAGAGAAUACCGUCCCUGGAGAAUUCUGAUUGUGUUGUUGGCUUGUGGCAGUGCUGAACUAAGAAACAGCUGAGCUGAAAUUCCCAGACUAAAAGAUGUGAUGGCUACUAGUAAUCUUGUCAUCAUUUAAAAAAUGUUAGAAGAACCGUGAGCGUUUCUCUUGCUCCCACCUGUGCUUUGGGAUGUGAAAGAAUAACAUUAGCAGAUUGAGGCCUCAACUUCCUCUUGGAUGCAUCUGGACCAUUUCAUUAGGCAGUUCGCUGAGCCUGUGAUCAGUCUGAGUGCAGCUGAUGAUGAGCAGCGCCAAGAUACAGUACUGGGCUGCUGAUCAAAUUGGUGUCUUUCAGAAGACUUGAAAAAUUAGAUGAUUGAAGCAUCACUCUUGUAAGCCACAGCCUCACCGUGAGGAUGUUAGGGCAGCCACAGCUGUACGGGGUACCUUCACCAGCAAUCUUUCACACUCUGACAAAACUAUUAUUCCUGAAGGUAACUGCGGGUGGUCUUCCUUUGUCUGAUUUCUAGAAAUUCGGUACAUCACUUUCUAGUUAUGCAGCUGAUACUCAUGUUUAUAUGAAUGACUAUUUAAAAAAGGAAAGAUCAGAUGUUUGUUGUUUCAUUUCAACAUAAAUCAAACUUUGUAUUCGCAUAGCAAUUCUAGUUUAGCCCCAGGAAUAGCUUUAGUAUUGCUAAGUGUCUGGAGAGUACUGACUACAGAGACAUGGUUUUAAGCAGGCUAUAAUAGUUUCUACAGCUGUUAACAGUUCGUAGAAGAAAGGCAGCAUUAUUCAUCAGUGUUUAAAAUGUGCAUGACUUGCAUUGCACAGAAGUCAGACUGGGAGAAUGUCAGAUUUUUUUUUCUGAGAUUCUGCCAGGAAAGUCUUCAAUAACUGGAGAAAUUCUUUUCACUGGUGAAAUCAACAUGCAGCACAUUGUGUUAUUACAAUUGCUUAUAGCUCACCAUGAAAGUUGUCUUUGUAUGUGUGGAUGUACGGCUUGUACUGUUUUGUUUUUAUUUAUUCUGCAUUCUCUAUUAUAAUGUUCUUUCCUUUUUUCCAGACCAGAAAGAUUGUUAUUGAGCUUUCCACAAAGCUGAAAUAAUGCUGUGUGUUAAAAAAAUGUUAACAAUUUGAAGAAGUUAUAAAAAUUUAUAAGUUGACUGAAUACUUUGGAAAUUUCUGCAUAUUUUAAUAUAAAUAGGUAAUGCAAAUGUUUGUUCUUUGCAUUUAAAGGUGGGUCUCUGUUUUCUAAAG